Molecule: long non-coding RNA, 466 nt
Organism: Hyla sarda
Lineage: Eukaryota; Metazoa; Chordata; Amphibia; Anura; Hylidae
Exons: 3
Source: RefSeq, a predicted model, not a curated record
AGGGAGGAGCAUCACCAACAGCACUCACCAUAUUCUGUAAAGCUAAAAGAAGUAUCAUUGUACAACAGGAAAAGUUGCCCGGAGGCACAGGGUGGAGGCAGAGCAAUAUAGUCUUCUGGACUACAGGAAUUGUAAGGACAAUAAUAGACCAAAACAGGAACUAAUCAGUCAAUCCAUUACUUGCAUUACUUGAGCAAGCCGGCUUACGUUAACAUGUCUGCACAUUAAAACAACGAAUUGAUGGGUAAUGUGUCAUUACAGCUGGAUGUUCUCAAAAAGCUGCUGAUCCAGAGUAAAAUAAAUGCCCCUGAUGCCUCUUUACUGGAAAGAUAUGGGAAUCAAGCAGUUUUAUGUAAUUAUUUGACGGCAGGAUCAUUUGACGGCAGGAUCUUUCUUAAAGGUGUAGCACCAUUGUAAUUACAUGAGCCGUCAUGGAGAAAUUAAUCAACCAACUAACUAGUUAAUG